AGUGAACGCUGGCGGUAGGCCUAACACAUGCAAGUCGAACGGCAGCACAGUAAGAGCUUGCUCUUACGGGUGGCGAGUGGCGGACGGGUGAGGAAUACAUCGGAAUCUACUUUUUCGUGGGGGAUAACGUAGGGAAACUUACGCUAAUACCGCAUACGACCUACGGGUGAAAGCAGUGGAUCUUCGGACCUUUCGCGAUUGAAUGAGCCGAUGUCGGAUUAGCUAGUUGGCGGGGUAAAGGCCCACCAAGGCGACGAUCCGUAGCUGGUCUGAGAGGAUGAUCAGGCAAACUGGAACUGAGACACGGUCCAGACUCCUACGGGAGGCAGCAGUGGGGAAUAUUGGACAAUGGGCGCAAGCCUGAUCCAGCCAUACCGCGUGGGUGAAGAAGGCCUUCGGGUUGUAAAGCCCUUUUGUUGGGAAAGAAAAGAAGCAGGUUAAUACCCCGCUGUUCUGACGGUACCCAAAGAAUAAGCACCGGCUAACUUCGUG
Molecule: ribosomal RNA, 492 nt
Filed under: uncultured bacterium
Lineage: Bacteria
Description: partial 16S ribosomal RNA
Rfam family: Bacterial small subunit ribosomal RNA
Source: RNAcentral